AGUGUUUACGCUAGCCUGAAUUACAUUAUUCGUACGGAAACUUCACGUUGCCACACCCUUCCAUACAAGUGAUUUUUCAGUGAAGCAUUUCUAACGUCGCAUUAACCAUAUAAUAAUAAUAAUACGUUGUAGAUAUAAGUUCUCAGAAUACAUAACUUAAACUCUAAAGUUUACUGCUGCUGUAGAUUGAGUUUUUGUAAUUCUGGAGAAUAAGUCGUCCAAAUAACCUAUGAAAGUACGUGGUGGUUCCUGCCUAGAAAAUUCAGAUGGAAUGGUGGCUUUCACACCAAACACCAGUUCGUGUGAGGUGAACCCAGUGGCUUCAUGUACUGAGGUAUUAUAGGAGAAUAUGCCAAAUCUAAUCCACUCGUCCCAAUAAUUCUUGUUGCAAAAAUGUUUCAGAAAUUAUUCAUGAUUCUGCUCACGAAAUUCGUUCCCUGGUCUGUAUGAAUGGCGCGAGGACAACCAAACCGGCUGAUGAACUGUUCGGCAAGGGCUAUUGCUACAGAUGUGGAAUCAAUAUUAGAAAGUGGAAUGGCAUCUGAGUAUUUUGUAAGGUUGUCCUGGAUAGUAAAGAGCAUUUUAUACCUUUGGCAACUGGGGCAAGUACGUGUAAAAUUAGCGAUUUCCUUGGUCAUGUUUGGCCAAAAGAAAUCUGCUCUAAUUCUUUCAUAAAGUUUAUGGGCACCUUGGUGACCACCUACGGCAGACUCAUGGUACUCUUUUAUAAUGAGAGGCCUAUUUGUUAGAGAUGAGAUGCUGAUAUCUUUUAUAUCUAAAGAAUCCAUGAGAUGUUUAAGGGAGCUUAAAGAAGAUUCAAGGUGAACAGGAUCUACUUGUUCAUUCGAGGAUGCUUUUACCAAAAGAGAAUUUUCCGUGAGUUACAAGGUCUCUACUUGUUUGUGACGUGAUUUCAAAGUCUGUGGAGAAGAAAUGGAUAAAAUUAUCCUUACGCAUAUGAAAAUGGUCCUUUGUAUAGAGGAU
Molecule: long non-coding RNA, 984 nt
Organism: Osmia bicornis bicornis
Lineage: Eukaryota; Metazoa; Arthropoda; Insecta; Hymenoptera; Megachilidae
Exons: 6
Source: RefSeq, a predicted model, not a curated record